UGGUGGAGUGAUUUGUCUGGUUAAUUCCGAUAACGAACGAGACCUUAACCUGCUAAAUAGCCACAUUCGGUUUUACUGGGUGCUUGACUUCUUAGAGGGACUAUAGACGUUUAGUCUAUGGAAGUUUGAGGCAAUAACA
This 139-nucleotide ribosomal RNA is filed under the name uncultured eukaryote. RNAcentral describes it as "partial 18S ribosomal RNA". It matches the Rfam family "Eukaryotic small subunit ribosomal RNA", at positions 1299 to 1458 of the family's 1831-position model. The record is from RNAcentral.